UGGUGUUGAUUGCGGUGAGGGUCCACCCGUUCCCAUCCCGAACACGGAAGUUAAGCUCACCUGCGCCGAAAAUACUUGUCUGGAGACGGACCGGGAAGAUAGGUAACGCC
This 110-nucleotide ribosomal RNA is filed under the name Flavonifractor plautii. Lineage: Bacteria; Bacillati; Bacillota; Clostridia; Eubacteriales; Oscillospiraceae. The record is from RNAcentral.